ACAGCUCAGUAACACGUAGUCAACAUGCCCAAAGGACGUGGAUAACCUCGGGAAACUGAGGAUAAACCGCGAUAGGCCAAGGUUUCUGGAAUGAGCCAUGGCCGAAAUCUAUAUGGCCUUUGGAUUGGACUGCGGCCGAUCAGGCUGUUGGUGAGGUAAUGGCCCACCAAACCUGUAACCGGUACGGGCUUUGAGAGAAGGAGCCCGGAGAUGGGCACUGAGACAAGGGCCCAGGCCCUAUGGGGCGCAGCAGGCGCGAAACCUCUGCAAUAGGCGAAAGCUUGACAGGGUUACUCUGAGUGAUGCCCGCUAAGGGUAUCUUUUGGCACCUCUAAAAAUGGUGCAGAAUAAGGGGUGGGCAAGUCUGGUGUCAGCCGCCGCGGUAAUACCAGCACCCCGAGUUGUCGGGACGAUUAUUGGGCCUAAAGCAUCCGUAGCCUGUUCUGCAAGUCCUCCGUUAAAUCCACCUGCUUAACGGAUGGGCUGCGGGGGAUACUGCAGAGCUAGGAGGCGGGAGAGGCAAACGGUACUCAGUGGGUAGGGGUAAAAUCCUUUGAUCUACUGAAGACCACCAGUGGCGAAGGCGGUUUGCCAGAACGCGCUCGACGGUGAGGGAUGAAAGCUGGGGGAGCAAACCGGAUUAGAUACCCGGGUAGUCCCAGCUGUAAACGAUGCAGACUCGGUGAUGGGUUGGCCUCGAGCCAACCCAGUGCCGCAGGGAAGCCGUUAAGUCUGCCGCCUGGGGAGUACGGUCGCAAGACUGAAACUUAAAGGAAUUGGCGGGGGAGCACCACAAGGGGUGAAGCCUGCGGUUCAAUUGGAGUCAACGCCGGGAAUCUUACCGGGGGCGACAGCAGAGUGAAGUCAAGCUGAAGACUUUACCAGACAGCUGAGAGAGUGCAUGGCCGUCGCAGCUCGUGCGUGAGUGUCUGUAGUCAGUACGAGCAGAUCCCUGCCUCUAGUGCUACCACUGCCUCCUCAGGAGCAGAA
RNAcentral lists this ribosomal RNA (990 nucleotides) under uncultured archaeon. RNAcentral's name for it is "bacterial SSU rRNA". It matches the Rfam family "Archaeal small subunit ribosomal RNA", at positions 85 to 1093 of the family's 1478-position model. The record is from RNAcentral.